RNAcentral lists this ribosomal RNA (141 nucleotides) under uncultured bacterium. RNAcentral's name for it is "partial 16S rRNA". It matches the Rfam family "Bacterial small subunit ribosomal RNA", at positions 355 to 511 of the family's 1533-position model. The record is from RNAcentral.
UGGGGAAUUUUCCGCAAUGGGCGAAAGCCCGACGGAGCAAUGCCGCGUGGAGGUGGAAGGCCUACGGGUCGUCAACUUCUUUUCUCGGAGAAGAAACAAUGACGGUAUCUGAGGAAUAAGCAUCGGCUAACUCUGCGCCAG